CGGUACUCAGUUCGGAUUNAAGGCUGAAAUUCGCCUUCAUGAAGCUGGAAUUGCUAGUAAUCGCGGAUCAGCAUGCCGCGGUGAAUACGUUCCCGGGCCUUGUACACACCGCCCGUCACACCAUGAGAGUUUGUAACACCCAAAGCCGGUGGGGUAACCUUUUGGAGCCAGCCGUCUAAGGUGGGACAGAUGAUUGGGGUGAAGUCGUAACAAGGUACC
This 219-nucleotide ribosomal RNA is filed under the name uncultured bacterium. RNAcentral's name for it is "partial 16S ribosomal RNA". It matches the Rfam family "Bacterial small subunit ribosomal RNA", at positions 1282 to 1500 of the family's 1533-position model. The record is from RNAcentral.